This 254-nucleotide ribosomal RNA is filed under the name uncultured bacterium. Its description in RNAcentral is "partial 16S ribosomal RNA". It matches the Rfam family "Bacterial small subunit ribosomal RNA", at positions 524 to 776 of the family's 1533-position model. The record is from RNAcentral.
UACGGAGGAUCCAAGCGUUAUCCGGAAUUACUGGGCGUAAAGAGUUGCGUAGGUGGCAUUGUAAGUUGGUAGUGAAAGCGUUCGGCUCAACCGGAUAUCCAUUACCAAAACUGCAAAGCUAGAGGACAAGAGAGGUUAUUGGAAUUCCCUGUGUAGGAGUGAAAUCCGUAGAUAUAGGGAGGAACACCGAUGGCGUAGGCAGAUAACUGGCUUGUUCCUGACACUAAGGCACGAAAGCGUGGGUAGCAAACGGG